This 29-nucleotide non-coding RNA is filed under the name Mus musculus (house mouse). The record is from RNAcentral. Lineage: Eukaryota; Metazoa; Chordata; Mammalia; Rodentia; Muridae.
UGGAAAAGCCUUCUAUUAGUGUUCAACCC